RNAcentral lists this transfer RNA (88 nucleotides) under Bacillota bacterium. RNAcentral describes it as "tRNA-Leu". It matches the Rfam family "tRNA". From Rfam's summary of the family: Transfer RNA (tRNA) molecules are approximately 80 nucleotides in length. Their secondary structure includes four short double-helical elements and three loops (D, anti-codon, and T loops). Lineage: Bacteria; Bacillati; Bacillota. The record is from RNAcentral. RNAcentral also lists the same sequence under 3 other names.
GCCGAAGUGGUGGAAUUGGCAGACGCGCUAGAUUCAGGGUCUAGUGGGCAUCUCGCCCGUGCAGGUUCAAGUCCUGUCUUCGGCACCA